AAUAUUUGUAUGCAGUAUUAUUGGGUUAUUCAAAUACCAAUGUAUGAACUUAGUCAGUUACCAAGCAAAUUUUUAGAUUCACAUCUUCGGAGACAAUGAUGGAUCAGAAAACAGCUGAAAUAAUUAGUAAUGAGUAACUUGCAACACGGAAAUAACAUUGAUAGUAUAUAACCUCUGCUGUGCUGGAAAAUAAUAAAGCAAGCGCCCCUUAUGACACCGGGAAUUAAGAAGUAUCUUUUCAAGGCCGUCAUCCUCAUGCACUUUCAUCAUUUUAGCAGCUAUCCAACAACACAUCAGAAACUAGUGUAACUGCAAAUAUCUUAUAUCAUAACUAAAUACAAAUAGUAAUCUUCUGCGGUGAUUUCAAUAAUAGAAAGAGGAAAUAAAGUUUGUGAAGGGUGG
RNAcentral lists this unclassified non-coding RNA (402 nucleotides) under Hevea brasiliensis (rubber tree). The record is from RNAcentral. Lineage: Eukaryota; Viridiplantae; Streptophyta; Magnoliopsida; Malpighiales; Euphorbiaceae.